GAUGAACGCUGGCGGCGUGCUUAACACAUGCAAGUCGAACGGAAAGGCCUCAGCUUGCUGGGGUACUCGAGUGGCGAACGGGUGAGUAACACGUGGGUGAUCUGCCCUGCACUUUGGGAUAAGCUUGGGAAACUGGGUCUAAUACCGAAUAUGACCACUUCUUGGAUGUUGUGGUGGAAAGCUUUUGCGGUGUGGGAUGAGCCUGCGGCCUAUCAGCUUGUUGGUGGGGUAAUGGUCUACCAAGGCGGCGACGGGUAUCCGGCCUGAGAGGGUGGACGGACACAUUGGGACUGAGAUACGGCCCAGACUCCUACGGGAGGCAGCAGUGGGGAAUAUUGCACAAUGGGCGCAAGCCUGAUGCAGCGACGCCGCGUGGGGGAUGAAGGCCUUCGGGUUGUGAACUCCUUUCGCUAUCGACGAAGCCACUUGUGGUGACGGUAGGUAGAUAAGAAGCACCGGCUAACUACGUGCCAGCAGCCGCCGUAA
Molecule: ribosomal RNA, 486 nt
Filed under: uncultured bacterium
Lineage: Bacteria
Description: partial 16S ribosomal RNA
Rfam family: Bacterial small subunit ribosomal RNA
Source: RNAcentral